UUGUGAUUUCCGCGCUUUACAGGACUUGGAGACACCGGGCCUGGAGAAAUUCACCGCCGUGCGCCAAGACCACCUUCGUCUCCAUCGACUUGUCGAAUCUCAUCCAGAAGGUUUCAAUCUCAAGUCAAUCCAUCAUUUUACAUCGAGUUCCUGUAGGACACGUUGGAGUAGGAGGUGCUCUUUUCAAAACCAACACUACAGGUUGUCAUCUGAAGUUGUCGCUUAUUAUU
This is a long non-coding RNA of Lolium rigidum, 230 nucleotides long. RefSeq lists it as uncharacterized. The transcript is spliced from 3 exons. Lineage: Eukaryota; Viridiplantae; Streptophyta; Magnoliopsida; Poales; Poaceae. The record is from RefSeq and is a predicted model, not a curated record.